Molecule: small nuclear RNA, 111 nt
Organism: Myotis lucifugus (little brown bat)
Lineage: Eukaryota; Metazoa; Chordata; Mammalia; Chiroptera; Vespertilionidae
Source: Ensembl
GUGUUGGCUUCGGCAGCACAUAUACUAAAUUGGAACGAUACAGAGAAGAGAGAUCUGCAUGGCCCCUGUGUAAGGAUGUCCAGCAAAUCCUGUGACGCUUUCCACAUUUUA